GGAGCUGUAGCUCAGGAGUAGAGAAUCUGCUUUGCAUGCAGAAGGUCCUGGGUUCAAAUCCCAGGUUACAUACGCUUCA
Molecule: non-coding RNA, 79 nt
Organism: Podarcis lilfordi (Lilford's wall lizard)
Lineage: Eukaryota; Metazoa; Chordata; Lepidosauria; Squamata; Lacertidae
Source: the annotation of a GenBank genome assembly